AGACAGAAAUAGUUAUUGUUGCUUUGGGUAGUAUCUUGUGUUUUAUUAAAUGUAUUUUUGGACCUGUUUCCUUGUGCUUUCCUGGAAUCUCUUCACCAGUAGAUUAAUGGAUUAAAAGUUUGCCUUUCUUUCUUUCUGUCUUUCUUUUCGGUUUUGGAAAUUUAUGAUUGGUUUUCCAGUGGUUCCGUUUCUUUUAUUUCGUUAGCAUUUACUGGUUCGUGGAUGUGUUAUUGCAAUUGUAUUAUUCUUUUCUGGUCCUGAUGGAGAGAUGUACCUAACUUCUUUCUGGAAACUUUUGAUUACGUUUUGAAAGGAAAGGUAGCCUUUUCAGAGGAAGUUGGCAGUGUUUUCUUAUAAAGUUGGGGUUCUUCAUGUCAGCUUUUUUGAUAUUGUUUCUGCGCUCAAGUAGGGUUUAUUAGUCUGGAAAUAUUAUUAUAAGGUAUUUAAGGAGGGCUGUAAAUUUCCUCUUAAAUGUUCCUUUCAAAGCCAGGAUUCCAAACUCUGCAAUAUGAAUGACUGUAAGGGUUUCAUAUCAAAUACGUCAUCGACUGUUAACGGAAGUACUUCUUUGGAAGGAACAUAAUGUAAGUUUUAGGCAGAAUUAGUUUUUCCUCCCUGGGAAUGCUUGUUUGCUGACCUAAUGUGCAAUAGUGAAAACACAUUUUCAAAGCUUUUAAAAUUAGAUUUUCAGCUGUAUGAAUAAUUUUGUGCAGAUGGGAGAUAAGCUACAAAGUGCUGGGAAAAUAAAUAGCAAUGAUUAUUGAUGUUCGUGGAUGUCAUGAAAACAUUAUUGAGAUAUAUAGAAUAUAUUGCAGAGCUUGGCUCCCACCUGGAGAGUGGGGAAGUCCCCUGUGGUCAUGCUUGUGGAAAAAAGCAAGGAGAUUGCUUUUCGUCUGUACUUGACUUUGUAGCCAAGCCUUUGUAGCCUGCUUGUUCCAUAUUGUUGUCAAUUAGAGAAGUAGAAAGGCUCUCUUCCCACAGCCCUCCCCUGCAUUGUAUCUCUGUUAGGAUGUGUGCUAGGUCUUCCAGACACCUUAGUUCACUGUACAGAGAAUUUUCCGGGUAGUCAAAGGUGUAGCCAGCUACACACCAGGUCUUCAUUCUAGAGUCUGUCCUGCCUGAUUCUGUUCUCGAAGGCCUAGCAGUGUUUCUCCUCUGUUUUGCAUUCCUUGCUGGUUAAUUGGCCCAAUUUAAGUAAAUUUAAAAGAAUCAAAUAAAGAAACCUUAAGACCACCUUUUUUAACAGAAAUUCUCUAAGGACUCUUUUUACCAAGGAAACGGGAUAUAGGCUGCUAUGAAGAUUAUAUGUAUGAAUAUAAAUUGAUACUUAUUUUGUGCUUUAUCUCCAAGAAGGGCUGCAGAGAUGUUUUUAAUAAUAUUCUACUUUCUUCUUUAACUUUUUUUUUUGAUUGAGGGGAUUUUGAAGAAUUGACUUCAAAGCUAGUAUACAAUGAGUGUUGUUAAACUGUUACUUUGCUAAUAGUGUGCAUAUAAAACAAUCCAUAUUGUCUAAAAAAUUGUCCACUUUCCACGCGGUUGUGAAAAUAUAAUUUAAAUCGGAAUGACCAUUAGAGCUAGAAUUAAAAUGAUUAAGCUGAAGAGGGGAAAAUGUAGGAAGCAAUUUUAACACUAUCUCUGAGAAACUAGAAUGUCUGAUUUUCAGUCUAGAAGUACGCAGAUGAAUUUUCUUAGGGGAAUUCAGGCAGUAUAAUCUAGCGCAGAAUCCCCUAUUAGCAAAUUAUAUUCUGUUUAACAUUUUCCCCCUUUGGCAAUAUCAUAGAGUGGACCACAGUAUUUUCCCUUAUGUUUUUGUUAUGAUUUCAUAACCUUAUGAAGCUGCUGUAUGAAAGAAGACUUGAGAUCCCUAAGUGAAUUGAAGAAACAGAGCCUUAUAAAAAACUAUAAGGCAGUGUUUUCUAGUUAAUUAAAAGCACAUUGAAAAUGGGAAAAUGGGCAGCUAGAAAAUGUGUUCAUAGGGGUUCUAAUCUGCUUGUUUGUCUAAAAGGAUUUUCCUAGGAAGUAAUGGAAGAUUGGACUUGAAUGCUUUGAUUUUCCUGAAGUUACAGCUUAAUGUUUAAUACUGACUGGGAUUUGACACCUGACCUAGGCACUGGAUACACAUAGAAUCAUAGAGUUGUGAUUUUUUUCCCCCGGUGUUAGGAACCUUACGAACCAGGAAGCUUCUUUUGAGUGGAGGCACCGUUGUUUCACCUGAAUUAGAUUUAGUGGAUUCUUACCAAUGCUCUUUCUCUUGAGAGGAAAAUUAUAAGCUACGUAUGAUCAGUUUUUUAUGAUGCUGAUCACUCAUUGAAUUAAACAACCACCACUAAGUAUCUUCAAGAAAUAAAGGAACAAAAGCUUGUGAAGCUGACUGCUUGGCUAGUCUGAUUUCCAAGAGAAAGGAUGCAAGUUCAAGUUUUCUUCAUAUGACACAGGUGCCUAGUAGCUAACCUGAAACAAAUGUUCUGACAGAUGGAAAAAUAUGCACAAAUCUACAUACAGAAAUGUCCUUUAAAAUGUUCAUUGAGAAAUGAACUUUUAUCUCACAAGAAAGAUAAGUGACAGGACAAAGGAUACAGGAUUUUGGAUAAAUAGCAGGGACAAUAUGUCAUGACAGAGAAAAUCGGACUGGCUAUUGUAUUUGCAUACUAAAUAAUCUACAGUUGCCCUGUUACAUAAUUUAGUAGAGGCACACACAUCAAAAACUCAUGAAAGAAACAAAUUUAAAAUGUAUUUUCUCUUUAUAAAUUGUUUCGUAAUGCUACUUAGUAUCUCUAUUUCUUUUGCGAACUUAUUUUAUCUUUUACCUUCCUUAAUACUAUUCUUUCCUGCUAACAUAAUCAGUGGAAAUGCUUACUUGUUUUCAUGUAUAGUUCUUACACUGAUUUUUUUUUUUAUCAUUGUUUGCUUAGAUUAAAUCUUGUCUGAUCUACUGGCCAUUAUACAGAAUUUCUUUGUGCUUUUGUAAUGAAUAAUCACCAUUUGCCUCUUGGCUGAAAAUGAGAUGCCAGGUGAAGAAUCACACAUGCUUUUUUUUAAAACUCUAAAUGCAGUAUAAAAGAAAAGAGGGUACACUGUAUAUGAAUUAUGAUUCGACACGGUUGGUUGCUGCUAGCGGCCAAAUAUGCUUUUCCUUUGCUGUCUGCUCCAAUUUCUCUUUGGACGGGUUAGGAGAGAGCACUACAUGUUCAGGUCAAGAUGUUUGCUCAGAAAUAGUAGUACAGUUGCAGCUGUGUUUGUUGGAGCAGGAGACUAGUUUAAAUAGCAUUACCAUUUAUCCAGUCCAUUAACAGAACUCUGUAAAAUAAUACCAACUCUGCACAAACUACAGGACAGUGUAAUAAAAUUACAAGCACUUGUUGACAGAUGGAAAGUGUAAGUAAAGAGAAAAGUCAAGUGAAGGGCUGUAGGUUGGAGGUUAAAAGUGCCGGCACAUACUUUUCUUAUGUCCAGACUCCAACUACCUCUUUGCUUCUCCUUCAAAACCGAGGUUGCAUUUUUUAUUAUCAGUGUUAAGAGUGGAGAACAUGAUUUUCAGAGCAUUAGGAGCUGGUUAAUUAAGAGAAGUUUCAGUGACUUUUGAAAUGGUCGAUGAUAAUUGAAACUUAUGAGUAGCAUAUACACAUCGUCCUGAAACAUGUAACUUAAAGGUGGUUUACCAGUGAGUGAUUCACACUCUUCAGCUUGGGUUUGCAGCUACUCAUCUGGCUCAUUAGAGAGGAAUUUCAUUGGUAGGAUCGUGGUUAGACAUUUGGUUAUAAAUAUUUGUUUUGCGGUUUUUAGUUUAUUUCUUUGAGUGUUAUUAUAUUUACCCAGACUUCUAACAUAAGCUUAAGUAGCCAAACUAUGUUGCAGAAACUCGUUUUUCACUUCUAUGUACUGAAACAGAACAAACAAAAAUAAAUAUGUAAGUCCUAGUGAUUCAUUUUCUUUACUUCUUUGAAUAAAAGCUCUUUAUUUCUGGUUAGCAAGUGGUAUUUUUUAUUCCCCAGUGAGCUUUGGAGGCACUAAAUUAUCUAACAUUGUAAGUAGUAGUUUUACAAGAACCAAGGACUCUUUUUAUGGCCUAGUGACUCCUUACCUGAGACAAAUAGAUUCUGAGUGCUUAAUUCAAUUAGUCAGGUUACAAUUCAUUUACUGUCAGAUAGGAUCUCAGGUUCUCCAAAUUGUUUUUGAUAAUAAUUGUUGAGAUUCUUUAGGCAGGAAACUUAAUUUUUGUUCUAUUAAGGUAAAAUUAAUUUGUAAAGCAUAGCAAAUAUCAUAGUGAAGCUGUUAUUUCCUUUUUUUCAUAGAUGAAGAGCCUUAGUUUUUUAUUUUGGUUUUUAAUGCAUGCUUAUUUUAAAAAGGUUUAGAUAACUCAGAAAAAUAGAAAAGUGGGAGUAUAAAUUAUUCAUUAUCUCACCACCCAGAUAUAACCUCUAAUAUACUUGUCAGUUAUUUGUUGAUGAGUUUUCUAUAAUUAUGCAUAUAAAUGCUGGUGUACGUGUAUUACAAAAACAUUUUUUUUUUUAAUAUCCCCAGGGUUUAGUGUAAGGCUUGACCUUUAGAAAGCUCUCAGUAAGUGUUUGAUGUAUUGAAUUAAAUCUCCAUCAGGUUCAGAGUUUGUAACUUGAAUGAGCAAACAGUAACACAGGGAAGGCAUUAUGAAUAAUGGAGAACAAAUUAAAUUUAAAGGAUAUCUUGGCUAAUUAAAUGUUUAAUCCCCUUAGGUUUUCUAAACAUCGAAGGGUAUUGAUGGACAUAGCAAAAUCACAAUGAUCCAUUUUUCACCUAAUCAACAUAUACCUUCAUUUAAUAUGAUGCUACCGCUCCCCUGCCUCCCCCCACCCCCCCACCCCCUCAGUUCUCUGAUGCCAAUUUAGUCUCAGGAUUCUUGUAUUCAGGGAUGAAAGCCGAAUACAACCGUGAUGCCUAUGUCAGAAGUCCUCUUGAAUUAAAUUCUGCCAGCUCUGAUUAAAGGGUGGGCUCCUAGAGGUGUCAGGUGCGUAGUUUCCUGCUUCAUUUUACUCUUGGCCUGUUUGGCCCCUGCCACAAUAAAUCCCACAGUGGUAGUGCAGGAAUUGCAGGUUACAGUUGCCACGGUUACCGCCACAUCUACAUCCUUACUCAUGGAGAAAGCUGCCAUGAUAGCUGCUGCUGAUCUCUCUUGCUGAAAAUGCCCUGCCAGAGAGCUUCGGGUGCAGAGAAUAAAAGUUCUUCAGAAGUGAUGUGUCUGUGUUAUCAUAGGAUACAUGAUUUGUGUCGUUAAUACAGAUCCCUUGCUAAGGGGAACAGAUUGACCCCUUAUCUUUAAAAACACAGAUCCAGUAAGAGAGAUAACCCUUGGGAAAGUGUUAACUGUCAGUGAUUAAAACGCCAAGUCUCUUAUUAUUUAUUAAGGAACUUAUUAAUUACUUAUUAUUGCGCCCAAGGGACUCUGUUCUUGCCAUUUCACAAACAGAGAUCUAUGAGGAGUUUUUAAUUUUAGGAGUUGACUGUCACAUAACCAAAGGUUUGUUUUUAAGUAAGCAGACAAAAGACUUGAUACACUGAUAUCUGGACACAUUGCACAGUGUCCAUAGCCACUUGCCAUGGAGGAAAGAAAAAAAAGGACAAGCCAUUGGCAGGAUUUAUUUUUGAUUUUGUUUAUAAAUCAACAUGCAGUACUAUGAUUUUAUAAAAGUAAUGAAGAUUAAGAUUGUACUUGAAAUUUUUGCCAGGCCUCCUGUGGAUAGUUUUUACCUUCAAGGGAUCACUAAUAGAAGCCUUGUUGCUGGAGGAAGUCAGAAGCUGGCAGGUUUCUGCUGUAGCCAGUCUGCCAAGUAGACUCUCUGAGUGUGAAAUCCACAGCAUAGUUCCUGGCAUAGGAAAGUCAAGUGUAGGAAGGCCUUUCCCACUCAAGUGCACUUGUUCUAAUGGUUGCUUCCCCAAAUGUAAACGUUUCUAUCUCCACCAACAAGUACUCACAGUUUGCCAACUUGAAUUUGUAAUACUGUGAUAGAUGCUGGGGAGAAGAGCUGCCAUGGUAUGUGGCCUCACAGAGUAUGUGGCAUUUGUGGACCUCGGCCAUUGCUAAGUAUGCAUGUAAAUUGAAGCCUACAGAGUAUGUGGCGAGUGAUUGUGCUUUUUUGAAAGAUGAAUUUAAGUGUAUGGUUUUCAUGUCAAAAUGAUAUUAUCGAAUACACAUGAUCAGGGAAUAUUGUAAAACAUGACUGUCAGUCAUAAAAUUGCCACUGCCAUCUCAAGAUUAGAAUUUGGUGACUGAAGUUUAUACGAAUAUGAAUUCUAGGAAUAAGUACCCAUGGGGUGUUAGUUCUAUUUAAUUAAUUUUAAUAUAUUUAUUUUAUGUUUUAAGACACGGAAAUCAAUUAAAUUAUUAUCGCGAGGGGCGGUAUAAAAUACUAGUGUUUAAAUAUCUACUCAGAUAUUAGUGGCUUUGCUGUCUUUGUAAAUCAAUGGACACCUCUGGAGCCAAGUUUUCUUAUCAGUAAAGUGGGAAUGAUAUUUACCUCUUGAGAAAUUUUCAAGUCACAACAUAGAUUUCGUGUUCAAAGGGUCAUUGUCACCUUUCAGGUUUGAUAGAAAUGGUACUUGCAGGAUUAUCAUUCUGUCAUUGCAAGAGAGGAUGAAAUAAUAAUCACACAAAUAUCCUUGCAAAUUGCCCAGAGUCAGCAAAUCUCUUGGUUUUCUUUAAUGUCUCUCUUGCAUUUAUUCUCAGUGUAGUAGCACAUACAUAAGCAUAACCACAUUAAUUUUUUAACACUGCAAAUUAACAUAAAAUGUGCAUUUGCACCAUUCCAUUUCUCCUUACUUGGCAACACAAGGUACAUUAAGGCCAGAAUGUUCUUAAUGAGGUCUCUUACCCUCUCCCAGUUAUGAUUCAUUUAAUUUUAAAAUUCUUAUAUAAAAUGAAUUAAGGGCAGAAAAAGAGACUGUGACUCAGGAACUAUUCAUGUUAGUCUGCAUAUUAAAUGGUUGUUUUAAUGAUGUGUUGUCCUGCAUAACAAAAGGAAGGAAAAAUACAGCUUAGAAGAUGCUGAGGGAAAAAAAAAGAAAAUGCCAAGUAAACUCCUAAAGCUAUAGGUAAACUAUUCUGAGAGUUAUUCAGGAGAUUUAUAUGUGUUGCUAAAGAACAUAUUUAUCAGUAAUUAAAAUUUUAGUUUUAAAAACAAGAUAAGACAAUUAUUCCAUCCACUUUUAAUAUCAAAUACAGUUUGAUCUGUGGGACAUUGACACUUCUGCCUCAGCUACAUGUAUGAUUUUCAGUGCAUUUUUAGACUAUAAACAUUUUAUCAAAAUGCAGUUCAAAUUACACACCAUUUAGCUUUAGGAUUUAAACAGUGAUUGAUAAUGAAAUACGUUUGAGUCAGAAGUUGUUUUGUUUUGUUUUUAUAACUCCAAUAUGUACAUAAGCUUUGCAUUCAGAUGAAUGUGGCAUAUGCCCUUUUCUUUACCACUUACCGCCAGGUUAAUUGCGAUCAUGCAGUUAUUUACUUGAUAAAUUGUGACCUAAGAAACUUGGGGCAAGAGUUUAAAAAAAACCCUAAACUCUAGAAAAGGAAGCAACGAAGAGUAAAAAAGCCAAUCUUUGGCAAUACCCAGGAUCUAGGGUAUGACAUGACUGUGUGAAAUGUUUUUAAGAGAACAUCUGUGCCUCUUGAAAUGCCCCCCGAGUGAAUGUGAACAGCUAAGUCUGGCAACUUGAUUUAAGUGUUAAAAAAAAAAAAAGAAAGAAAACCUUAAAGAGAAAUAAAUAAGUCUGGAAACAGAAUGGGAAAAGAUAGCUUUGCCCCGUCAUGAUAGGUUUCUUCUACUAGUGAGAGAUUAAAGCUUGAAGUAUGUGAAUAGCUGAGAACAGCACAGAGAAAGGUUGAUUGCUUCCCCUCCAACAGUUCCAAUGGAUUGAAAAAAGCCUAAUUUAAAGUUCUGUUUGUUCUGUGUCUUAAACCAUCAGAAUUCUCUUUUAGGACCAGAGGAAUGCUCUGGAGGAAAAGAAUCCAGGGAUAAAAAGUCAUUGCAAGCCAACAAUUGUUUCUAAUCCUCACAAAAUGCUGGAGAAAUUAAAUUUAUUCUUUAUUGCUCAAAGUGUUACCUAGGUCACUGGGCGAUGGGAAAAUUGCACUGGAAGUAGAGUAGGCACAGGCUUUGUUUUGUGUCUAGAUGCUUAACCUUAGACACGACAAGGCAUCUUAGAGUGUUGUGGGAACUUGGUUCCGAGUGUUAACACCAAGACUUUUAUUACCCUGGAUUUAUAAUAGGCUGUGCUGUCAGGAGAUGAAAAUGUUGUGUUUACAUUUCAGUGUUAAAUGAUCAUUUAAUUAACACCUAAGGAAAAAAAAAGUUGUGAGAUUCUUAGCAGCUUUUAUUGUUGGUUUCCUGGGAGGUUUUAAUAUCCAAGUUUCAUUGAGAUUUCUUUUUGUUAGUAGAGACACAAAAGACAUUAUAAACUUUUUAAGGAAGACAAACAGUUUAACCUUGACCCUCUUUUCCUAAAAUAGUAAUUUAAAUUACAUUCGAAAUCUGGUGAGCUUAUUUAAAAGGUUUCUAGAUUUGUAUCUUCAAAAUAUGUCUUAAUUAAACACUUAUUUUUGUGCGAACAUUUAAAUAUUAUUUAAUUUACCUUCUAAGUUUUCUGCUAUAAAACAUUUGAAGUUGCCAGUUAAAGGACUUUAUAAUACCGAUUAUUAUAUGUAUUUUACAUCUUUUAAACUACCGCUGUAGUUACAUUGUUUUAAGAAUCAGGGUCAAAAUAAGUAAUAUUAUUUUCAAGCAAAUUCUAUGGGAAAAAAAUUGCUGUUAUAUUAUCAUCAUCAUUAUUUAAUGAGAGAUUGUUACUAUUGUGUGAUGAAAGAUGUUUGUAUAUGGACAGUAGGAAGAAUGAUGCCAUUAAGAAGAAAAUUCAAAUUCACUUCAUUAAUUACUGAAAAAUUCAAUGCUAUCAAAUGCCUUCACUUAUUCUUGAUCUUUUAUAAAAAGAGUUACCUAAAAAAGAAUGGUCUUGAAACAGAUUGAUAACAUUUGGAAAACAUAAUAUGUACGUACUAUCAAGGGCUGCUGCACAAUCAGUAACACUUUCUUUUUCUAAAAGUAUUAUUAAAAUUUGUCAGUUAUUUGUCUCAUUUUAUCCAGAUAUAUAAUUUCCUAUUCCAAUAUAUGAACGAUUAAGAGAUAUUUACUAAGCUACUUACUGUUCAAGUAAAAUCUUUCUUAGCUUUUCCAGAAAUGAGUAUAUCAUUAUAGUGUAGUUUUUUUUAUUCAUAUUGAAACUAAAAAUGUUUAUCCCCUUUUUUAAGUUUAGGUUCAAAUGCCUCAGGAUAAAACCUCCUUUCUGUAUUAUUCAUGGUAAAAGACUGCAAGGAGGAUUGAAUGUUAUUAAAAUCUCUUAAUAGAAAGCCCUGCUUUGAACCAAGAAUUACGUUCUAGUUCACAAAAUACUGCUGAGCUUUACAUAGGCACUUAGUACAAUGUUAUAUGCUCUCCUUACUUCUAUCAAGUUUCAGUACUUCUCUAAAACUUUUUUUUAAACCCACAUUGAGUUUUUUUCUUCCAAAGCUGUUUCUCCAUCCAGAGGGUAGUAACAACAACAAAAAAAACCCAAGUAGGAAUAUUGCUUUAAGUGUUACCUCCUUUACAUAAGUAUCCAUCUUUUGAUUGAGGUACUUACAAGACACAAAAUGCUCAGAAGUUAAAAUGUAUGAAAGAGAAAGGACAAAAAAAAAAAAAAAAAAAAGGAGUGGCAAUAUCUGGUUACCUAACAUACUGGAUAACUAGUAUAUUCUAAAUGAUGUAGUGCAUUAUACCAGUUGAAAUUCCAAGCCAACCAGGUGUGUGUGUGUGUGUGUGUAGGUGUGUGGUUGGUUGGAGAUGGGGAUUCUGAAAGCUACAGAAACAUAAAUAUUUUGUGAAUGUUCAAAAUGUUUGAGGAAUAAAUAUUUAGGGAAAUUAUAGGACAUUUCUUUUAACAUAGAUUAAAUAUGUUGCUUUGAUACUAAGAAAGCCGCUGAUAUGUUGCUCUUAUAUUGAGAAAGUCAUUGUUAAAAUUUCAUGCAUUAAUUGUUUGGAAUCUCUAACUGGAAAUGAAAGAGAAAGAUUUCAAGAUUUGUUUUAGAUAAAGUUUCCAGGUUUGCAUCUUUAAAAAAUGGGAAUAACUCUUCUAAAUAUGAACAAUUAUACUGUAGCAAAUAUCUUUGACAGUUAUUCUAUUGAAACGGUUGCCUAUCAGGAGAUCAGAAGACAUGAUGUCUAGAGAUAGUCUAGUCCACUUUCCAGGGAUUAGGUAGUUAAAAUUAACUUCCCUUUUUGCACAAAAUCCCAUUUGCCUGACUUAAAAAUACCCACUAUCACCAAGUUCUGCAUUAGCGCUUUAACUUUCUCAUUGCUAGCACAUUUAUGCUAUAUCCCAGGCCAGCAGGUUUCCCUGUUGCUGAUUAGAAAUUCCUAGCACAUUCUGAACUCCUUCCUUGCUUCCAAUUAGGAGUAGCAUAGUUUACUGUCCUCUUGUAAGCCUCACUUCCUCUACCACAUUUUUCUCAACUGCUUUAAUUACCUCCAAAUGAUCAUCCAUUAUAAUGUAAUGGUUCCUAGUACAGGACUGUUGAAUCAGACUGCCAGGGUCUGAAUCACUUAAUGGGUCAACUUAGGAAUGUCACUCAAUUGCCUGCUUUGUGUCUAGAUUCUCCCUCCUGUAAGAAAGAGGAUGAUGGUAGAACUUACCUCAGGGAGGUGUUGUGUAAAUUAGUCUCUAAAGGACAGUAGUAAGUGCUAAGCAUUUUUUUUUGUUUUGUUUUGUUUUUCAUUAACUACCGUGAUUAUUAUCUAUCUCAUGUUAGGUAUCAUUUUCUAUUCAUAAUGUACGUUAAUUUUGCCAAGACUCUUGCUUACAUUUGUCUUUGUUUUACAUAUAGCAUCUAGUCUAGUGCAGGUUGCUUAAUAAAUACUUUGAAACUGAUUGCUUGACAGAAAUUAAGCUCAAAGAAGUCCAUAGUUUGCAUUUGGAAUAAGAUAUCUUUGUGUCGCUCAAGAGUCAAAAGACAUACUCCUUGUUGUGUUCCUAACUCUGCUGGUCCCUAGCUGCUGAUGCUAAGCAAAAGUACUUGAUUUAAGGACCAGUUUAUUGGUUUAUAAAAGUAUAUAAUAGGUCAGGUAAGAGAGGGGCAGUAAUUUAGCAUAAGGCCUCCUGGUGUCUAGGGAAUACUCAAACAUAAUGGAAGGAAGGAGAGGAAAUAAAAAUAUAUCAAAAAUUUGCUCUAGCUCUUUUUCAAGAAUUUAUAGGGAACUCUUCACAGGAUUUGCAGGAAUUAUAAUGGAAUUAUUCAUGGUAAUAAACUGGGAAUUAGAUAAUUAGAUUGUGGAUGAAUGAUUUUGAGAUUUUCUUCUUUCCUAUUGACAAUCUAAAAAAAAAA
Sus scrofa (pig) is the source of this 11381-nucleotide non-coding RNA. The record is from RefSeq and is a predicted model, not a curated record. Lineage: Eukaryota; Metazoa; Chordata; Mammalia; Artiodactyla; Suidae.